Myzus persicae (green peach aphid) is the source of this 2299-nucleotide long non-coding RNA. RefSeq lists it as uncharacterized. The transcript is spliced from 3 exons. Lineage: Eukaryota; Metazoa; Arthropoda; Insecta; Hemiptera; Aphididae. The record is from RefSeq and is a predicted model, not a curated record.
CCAUAUAGUUUGAGUGAAACGAACUGUGGACGCUGUGGCCUGUUGAUAGGUACAUCUGUACAGCGUCCACGGUUCGUUUUACGGAGCAUAUAGUGUCAAUAAUAUCAUUAAAACCGUAUAAUCUAUAUUGACAUAUUAUUAUGUAGUUCACAAAAGCCUGACAACUGCAGCAAGGAUCGCAAUGGAAGAAGGCCACGACCACCAGUGUAAUCCACAUCGUCAGGCAGACACUGCAGUGCUGGUACCUAGUAUUUAUUGUUAUGGAACCAUUGCUGCAUGUGAUUCAAAAGUCUAGUAUAUACUCAGAUUCAAAAAUGUUUGUUGUCAUGAAAAUGAAAUAUAUACCGAAUAAAACCAUGAAUUUAUUCUUGGAUGUGACGAAAAACUAGGGAUACAGGCCUUAUAAAUUAUAUCUGGAGAUUUUUCUCAAUGACGCAUUUGUGAAGGAGAGCAGUGCAGGAUUUGAAAUUUGGGAUCCCACCAACUGUAAGGCAGAGACAAAAUUUCAAAGAAUGAGACUUACAUUUCAUAUGAAAACUUUUAGGUAAACAAAUCAAAUAUUAUGUAUGUAUCAAAACGGAGGUGAGAUUAUCUAACACUAUGUGGUGUCAGCCACCCAUGCUACCGCCAAUGAUAAAAAGUUACAUAGAGGGAAAAAAACGAGAAAUCCCUUAAAGAAAAUGUAGAUAUACAAGAAAAAUAAUUCGGCUAUUUGAUGUUAAGCCAUACAGUGGAUAUAAAAAAAGAUGGAAAAUGUUACACAUUGGCUGUAUAAAAGGAUUUCCGUGAUGUUUAAGAUACAAAAUAAUCAGUCUUAUUUCAAUCAUAGCAGCCCAUCUAGAGUGGUGAUGUUAUGAUGAUCGGGUAAAAUUAAUCGCUAAUCACCCUAGAUUUCUUCUAACGUGUCAUACUCAAGUCACAAUUCCACUUCCUCUUGACCCAAAACCGCCUUCAACGUUUCUAUACGUUGGUUGGCGCUAGAGUACCUGCGACAACUCGCUCUCAGAACCCAGUAAAAAUCGUCUAGUUAUUUGGCGUUUCAAAUAUGAAGUGACCAACUCUUAGUCUUUUGUGUUUCAACGUUUUUUGAUUUCAACGGGCCUUGGUUUCUGUAAACCAGUUGGAGGAUGAUCUGUUCUUGAGGUUCGUCCGCUCGACAACGUCUCUCAUUGUCCGAUCAGGCCGUAGAUCAUCAGCAUCAUUUUGGUUCGGUCGGUGCUGAUUAAUAUUACUAACCUGACGCCCGACAGUCGGCAUCCAUCACAAAUCUCCGUGUGACCAAGCGCAGUCUGUCGCGUUGCUUUCUAUUCGUGGCUUGCGCGUGCUGCAAGGGCAUUACCCACCGCGCCGUGCUUUUGAAAUCAUCAGUAAUGGAUGCCACCGCUAUUCACAUGAAAUCACUCGGUGGAACCCGGUGGAAAAUUGACUCAUACGUCAUCAUUUGUGAUUUGUCCCGAAUUCCGGUACAUCUGCAGGAAACCUGAUCUAUCUGAAAACACGGUCAAUCAUUCUGGUGGAUUUGAAAAGCCAAGAUACUGGGUGACUUGUAUCGCGAGUGAGUUGUUGAAGUUCAGCGACAACAAAUGGCGGUGAAGAUGGUUCUAUGGAAGAGGUGGACCCGUGAUACUACACGGGAUAUCUACUACGACACGCUAAUAAAAACAACUAUACUAAAUAUAGGUUGAUAAGUGAUUACUCUUACCCGAUCAUCUUAUCAAUACAGUGGACAGGGUAUUAUUAUUUAUGACAGAUAUAAACUUAAUGUCGAUGAGGCUUAAAAAAGGAUAGGUGUCCUUGUAUACAUUUAAUGUGUAUGACGUAUGUAUGUUCCUUUUUUUCGUAUAUCCAUUGUAUGAUUUAACAUCAAAUAUCUAAAUUAUUUUUCCAGUAUAUCGAAAUUUUCUUUAAGAAUUAAGUAUUGUUUUUUGUUUGUGGCCUUGACGUAUCUUUUUGUUAUUGGUGUUAACAUCGGUGGUUGAGACCACAUAAUGUUAAUAAACAGUAGUCUAUGUCUAUCACUUUACUUAGUGAAUGUCGUGUGCUUUAGUUCUCAAAAUUGCUUCAUUUACUGUUAUUAGGUUUCAUUAUUUGUCCUGAAAUACUAUCUUUUUUUAAAAUUUUAAUCUAAGUUAUUUUAAAAAUAAAUUGCCUUAAGAGGAUGUCGCACCCAUAUGUAUUGUAUCGGUUGACCGUCUUACACACUUACUAGUUACUACAUAGAGUGAUAACAUUUUUUAAACUGUAUAUUUUAAAAUGAUCAUAAUUCAUAACAUACCUACUUAAAAAUAAUAAUAUCAAU